Molecule: ribosomal RNA, 253 nt
Filed under: uncultured bacterium
Lineage: Bacteria
Description: partial 16S ribosomal RNA
Rfam family: Bacterial small subunit ribosomal RNA
Source: RNAcentral
UACGAAGGGGGCUAGCGUUGCUCGGAAUCACUGGGCGUAAAGCGCACGUAGGCGGAUUGCUAAGUCAGGGGUGAAAUCCUGGAGCUCAACUCCAGAACUGCCUUUGAUACUGGCGAUCUUGAGUCCGGGAGAGGUGAGUGGAGCUGCGAGUGUAGAGGUGAAAUUCGUAGAUAUUCGCAAGAACACCAGUGGCGAAGGCGGCUCACUGGCCCGGUACUGACGCUGAGGUGCGAAAGCGUGGGGAGCAAACAGG